RNAcentral lists this ribosomal RNA (468 nucleotides) under uncultured bacterium. RNAcentral's name for it is "partial 16S ribosomal RNA". It matches the Rfam family "Bacterial small subunit ribosomal RNA", at positions 28 to 507 of the family's 1533-position model. The record is from RNAcentral.
GACGAACGCUGGCGGCGUGCUUAACACAUGCAAGUCGAACGGAAAGGCCCUGCUUUUGUGGGUUGCUCGGGUGGCGAACGGGUUAGUAACACGUGAGUAACCUCCCCUUGACUUUGGGAUAACUUCAGGAAACUGGUGCUAAUACCGGCUAGGAGCUCCUGCUGCAUGGUGGGGGUUGGAAAGUUUCGGCGGUUGGGGAUGGACUCUCGGCUUAUCAGCUUGUUGGUGGGGUAGUGGCUUACCAAGGCUUUGGCGGGUCGCCGCCCUGAGAGGGGGACCGCGGACAUAGGGAGAGAGAGACAGGGCAGACACUCAUGGGAGGCAGAAGAGGGGAAAAUAGUAGAAUGGGCGGAAGACUGAGGCAGAAAAGUUGCGUGCGGGAGAAGGGGGUUUGGGGAGUAAACAGCGCUCGCAGGAGAGGAAAAGAGAGUGACGGUAAUGGGUAAAGAAGCAACGGCUAACUACGUG